This 427-nucleotide ribosomal RNA is filed under the name uncultured Acidobacteriota bacterium. RNAcentral describes it as "bacterial SSU rRNA". It matches the Rfam family "Bacterial small subunit ribosomal RNA", at positions 958 to 1385 of the family's 1533-position model. The record is from RNAcentral. Lineage: Bacteria; Pseudomonadati; Acidobacteriota.
AACGCGAAGAACCUUACCUGGGCUUGAACCGCACAGGACCAUCUUUGGAAACAGAGACUUCCCGCAAGGGACCUGUGUAGAGGUGCUGCAUGGCUGUCGUCAGCUCGUGCCGUGAGGUGUUGGGUUAAGUCCCGCAACGAGCGCAACCCUUACUCAUAGUUGCUACCCGCAAGGGAGAACUCUAUGAGGACUGCUCCGGAUAACGGAGAGGAAGGUGGGGAUGAGGUCAAGUCAGCAUGGCCUUUAUGUCCAGGGCUACACACGUGUUACAAUGCGCACCACAAAGCGUCGCAAACCCGCGAGGGGGAGCUAAUCGCAAAAAAGUGCGCCCAGUUCGGAUUGCAGUCUGCAACUCGACUGCAUGAAGCUGGAAUCGCUAGUAAUGGCGCAUCAGAACGGCGCCGUGAAUACGUUCCCGGGCCUUGUA